UCGCAGAACCAUUUUAAAAACGGUUGCACCGCAGGUUUCUGGCAGAUUUUAUCCAACAGUUCUGGCGUGACAACGUUCGAAAGUUCGGAACAGCUUUCAGCAUCAUUCAGCAGCAUGUGUUAAAAGUAAGGAAAAAAUGACAGGGACAACGACAAACAUCUCUCAUGCCGAAGUUACGAUUUAGCAAUUGUGUGCAAGCGAUACAUGUAAUGUCAUAUUUACUUAAAAUGAUUAAAUAAAUGGUUAUAUUUAAAUCUUUCACAA
Long non-coding RNA from Ceratina calcarata, 264 nucleotides. RefSeq lists it as uncharacterized. NCBI's taxonomy places the organism in Eukaryota, Metazoa, Arthropoda, Insecta, Hymenoptera, Apidae. The record is from RefSeq and is a predicted model, not a curated record. The transcript is spliced from 2 exons.